CCCGCUGAACUUAAGCAUAUCAAUAAGCGGAGGAAAAGAAACUAACAAGGAUUCCGCUAGUAACUGCGAGUGAAGUGGGAAGAGCUCAAAUUUAAAAUCUGGCGUGGCUCUGGUCGUCCGAGUUGUAGUCUGGAGAAGCGUUUUCCGUGUUGGACCGUGUAUAAGUCUCUUGGAACAGGGCGUCAUAGAGGGUGAGAAUCCCGUCUUUGACACGGACUAGCCAACGCUUUGUGAUGCGCUCUCAAAGGGUCGAGUUGUUUGGGAAUGCAGCUCAAAAUGGGUGGUAAAUUCCAUCUAAAGCUUAAUAUAGGCGAGAGACCGAUAGCGAACAAGUACCGUGAGGGAAAGAUGAAAAGCACUUUAGAAAGAGAGUUAAACAGUACGUGAAAUUGCUGAAAGGGAAACACUUGAAGUCAGUCAUGUCUGCCAGGACUCAGCCUCGCUUCUGCUUGGCGUACUUUCUGGUUGGAUGGGCCAACGUCGAUUUUGACCGUCGGAGAAAGGCUGCAGGGAAUGUGGCAACUUCGGGUGUGUAACAGCGUUUUGUCGUAUACGUCGGUAGGGAUCGAGGACCGCAGCACGUCUGUAUGCUCGGGAUUCGCCUACGUACGUGCUUCGGAAGCUGACAUAAUGGCUAUAAACGACCCGUCUUGAAACACGG
This 661-nucleotide ribosomal RNA is filed under the name uncultured fungus. RNAcentral's name for it is "eukaryotic LSU rRNA". It matches the Rfam family "Eukaryotic large subunit ribosomal RNA", at positions 24 to 664 of the family's 3401-position model. Lineage: Eukaryota; Fungi. The record is from RNAcentral.